Tachysurus fulvidraco (yellow catfish) is the source of this 294-nucleotide long non-coding RNA. RefSeq lists it as uncharacterized. The record is from RefSeq and is a predicted model, not a curated record. The transcript has 3 exons. Lineage: Eukaryota; Metazoa; Chordata; Actinopteri; Siluriformes; Bagridae.
AUUGAAUCCAGCAGACAAUUAGUCUUUGAGGAAGAUGUACCAGAAUUUGAUUUUGAGUUACCAAAAUAUAUAAUAAUAUGUUAUUAUAUAAUAUGUUAAUGUCAUUAUGUCAUAAUGCAAAGAAAGGAUGACCAUAUUGUCAAAGCUCAACAAGGUCUUGUAGGAAAAGAUAAUGUCUUGACGAAACAAAUGCAUGGUGGUGAUUUGGUUAUUGCCUAUUCUGAUCUGAUUUGGGAUGUAACUUUCAAAACUGCUGUUUGCGUAUGCAUCUUUCUCAUUCUUUCUGAAUGUCUC